RNAcentral lists this ribosomal RNA (115 nucleotides) under Caerostris darwini. Lineage: Eukaryota; Metazoa; Arthropoda; Arachnida; Araneae; Araneidae. The record is from RNAcentral.
UACGGCCGUACCAUGCUGAAUAAUAUACCGGUUCUCGUUAGAUCACCGAAGUUAAGCAUCAUUGGGCGCGGUCAGUACUUGGGUGGGUGACCACCUGGGAACACUGCGUGCCGUU